AACAGGAAACCAAGCAUCAAUCAAAAAAUUAUUCUCUUUUUUAUUUGUGCUACUUAAAUUUGUUUUGGGCUACCAAAAACCCUUCCCUGCCCGAAGGGUUACCAGGGAUUUUGAGAUUUUGCGAGGAGUGUAGUAAUGUUUAUUUGCUCUGCUUUUUUUUGUAAGGGGUAAAAUAUGUCUAUAUACUUUUUGUGUCCCAGCUGAGUAACAGGAGGAGAAGAGUCUGGUGGAGCAGCGGAAGGACAAUUUCAGCCAUUUGGACUCAGCUCAGCCACUGCAGAGGAAACAAUGACUUCAACACAAAAGGACCAACAUGGAGCAAGAAGUCAGCGCUCUCAGGAGGCCGACAAACCUCACAGAAGAAAGGGAGA
Haplochromis burtoni (Burton's mouthbrooder) is the source of this 371-nucleotide long non-coding RNA. RefSeq lists it as uncharacterized. NCBI's taxonomy places the organism in Eukaryota, Metazoa, Chordata, Actinopteri, Cichliformes, Cichlidae. The record is from RefSeq and is a predicted model, not a curated record. The transcript is spliced from 2 exons.